UUUGAUCCUGGCUCAGGAUGAACGCUGGCGGCGCGCCUAACACAUGCAAGUCGAACGGCACCCAUCUUCGGAUGGAAGCGAGUGGCGAACGGCUGAGUAACACGUGGAGAACCUGCCCCCUUCCCCGGGAUAGCCGCCCGAAAGGACGGGUAAUACCGGAUACCCCGGGGUGCCGCAUGGCACCCCGGCUAAAGCCCCGACGGGAGGGGAUGGCUCCGCGGCCCAUCAGGUAGACGGCGGGGUGACGGCCCACCGUGCCGACAACGGGUAGCCGGGUUGAGAGACCGACCGGCCAGAUUGGGACUGAGACACGGCCCAGACUCCUACGGGAGGCAGCAGAGGGGAAUCUUGCGCAAUGGGGGGAACCCUGACGCAGCGACGCCGCGUGCGGGACGGAGGCCUUCGGGUCGUAAACCGCUUUCAGCAGGGAAGGGUCAAGACUGUACCUGCAGAAGAAGCCCCGGCUAACUACGUGCCAGCAGCCGCGGUAAUACGUAGGGGGCGAGCGUUAUCCGGAUUCAUUGGGCGUAAAGCGCGCGUAGGCGGCCCGGCAGGCCGGGGGUCGAAGCGGGGGGCUCAACCCCCCGAAGCCCCCGGAACCUCCGCGGCUUGGGUCCGGUAGGGGAGGGUGGAACACCCGGUGUAGCGGUGGAAUGCGCAGAUAUCGGGUGGAACACCGGUGGCGAAGGCGGCCCUCUGGGCCGAGACCGACGCUGAGGCGCGAAAGCUGGGGGAGCGAACAGGAUUAGAUACCCUGGUAGUCCCAGCCGUAAACGAUGGACGCUAGGUGUGGGGGGACGAUCCCCCCGUGCCGCAGCCAACGCAUUAAGCGUCCCGCCUGGGGAGUACGGCCGCAAGGCUAAAACUCAAAGGAAUUGACGG
RNAcentral lists this ribosomal RNA (882 nucleotides) under uncultured bacterium. RNAcentral's name for it is "bacterial SSU rRNA". It matches the Rfam family "Bacterial small subunit ribosomal RNA", at positions 12 to 916 of the family's 1533-position model. The record is from RNAcentral.